CCCAAAGAGGAUAAUAUCCGCUAGCGGUGGAUCUGAUCGUUACAAAUGGUAUCAGAGCUAGACACCGGACGAUGUGCCAGUCUUCUCGCUGUUCUCCGAAGGAGGGUAGACAUGAGGCGGUGUGCCAGUAAGGACGCUGGGC
Cucurbita moschata (crookneck pumpkin) is the source of this 142-nucleotide long non-coding RNA. RefSeq lists it as uncharacterized. NCBI's taxonomy places the organism in Eukaryota, Viridiplantae, Streptophyta, Magnoliopsida, Cucurbitales, Cucurbitaceae. The record is from RefSeq and is a predicted model, not a curated record. The transcript has 2 exons.